UAAAUUUAUUUUUAAAAAAUUGAAUAAAGUAAAACUCAUACUCAUACAUCCUCAGAUCCUUGCAAUUGCUAAUCGUGCUGCUACUGAGCCGAACACUGUCGCAAAGGAAGACGAAGAUGAUGGCUAAAAGCUGCCAAUUACGUGGACGCUACUCGCCACUCGGCCAACAAAAUCCCCAAAUAUUUCAAAACUUGACUGAAUUCCGAAAUCUUUUAGCAUUGAUCGGAGGUGGUUCGGGAACAAGAAAAUUCUAGAUGCUGGAUCAACACGAUCGAGGGACAUCGAAGGAACUGUAGAGCCUUGAUCAAUACACUGCGACGGAGUAAUCAAGGUGCUCUUCGUGGGGCGAUUGUGCAUCUGCAGGUAACACCUUUCACGAUACUCCCUCCCAUGCGUUAUCUUCUUCGUUUGUCUCUGUAGUUGUCAUUUGCAACAGACAAUUUGUUUGGUUUCUGAGAAAAGAAAGGAAAAGUAUUAGCAAAAUAAAAAAUAAAAAAAACCUACAUGUAAAAAUAAUUAGUUUAGUUAAUAAGGAGGCGUUAUUAUUACUAUUAAAACAUUACAGUAAAUAAUUAAUAUAAAGUAUUUGGUUUUUUAAACUGAGUUUAUUUUAUUUAUACAUAUAUAAAUCCACGUGCUGUAAAAAUGGAUUAUGUUUAUUUACCGCAAAAACUUUAUAAGGAGUAUUAUAGUUUCUUCUCCCAAGAAAUUUAUCUUUUAGAAUUGUUUUUU
RNAcentral lists this long non-coding RNA (732 nucleotides) under Jatropha curcas. RNAcentral's name for it is "long non-coding RNA (JCUR_LNC001056)". The record is from RNAcentral. Lineage: Eukaryota; Viridiplantae; Streptophyta; Magnoliopsida; Malpighiales; Euphorbiaceae.